AGGUUACUGCUAUCGGUGUUCGCCUAAGCCAUGCGAGUCAUAUGUUCGUAAGAACAUGGCGUACUGCUCAGUAACACGUGGAUAACCUGCCCUUGGGUCCGGCAUAACCCCGGGAAACUGGGGAUAAUUCCGGAUAACGCACAUAUGCUGGAAUGCUUUAUGCGUAAAAUGGAUUCGUCUGCCCAAGGAUGGGUCUGCGGCCUAUCAGGUAGUAGUGGGUGUAAUGUACCUACUAGCCUACGACGGGUACGGGUUGUGAGAGCAAGAGCCCGGAGAUGGAUUCUGAGACAUGAAUCCAGGCCCUACGGGGCGCAGCAGGCGCGAAAACUUUACAACGCGGGAAACCGUGAUAAGGGGACACCGAGUGCCAGCAUCCUAUGCUGGCUGUCCGGGUGUGUAAAAUACACCUGUUAGCAAGGGCCGGGCAAGACCGGUGCCAGCCGCCGCGGUAACACCGGCGGCCCGAGUGGUGAUCGUGAUUAUUGGGUCUAAAGGGUCCGUAGCCGGUUUGGUCAGUCCUCCGGGAAAUCUGACAGCUUAACUGUUAGGCUUUCGGAGGAUACUGCCAGACUUGGAACCGGGAGAGGUAAGAGGUACUACAGGGGUAGGAGUGAAAUCUUGUAAUCCCUGUGGGACCACCUGUGGCGAAGGCGUCUUACCAGAACGGGUUCGACGGUGAGGGACGAAAGCUGGGGGCACGAACCGGAUUAGAUACCCGGGUAGUCCCAGCCGUAAACGAUGCUCGCUAGGUGUCAGGCAUGGCGCGACCGUGUCUGGUGCCGCAGGGAAGCCGUGAAGCGAGCCACCUGGGAAGUACGGCCGCAAGGCUGAAACUUAA
This 838-nucleotide ribosomal RNA is filed under the name uncultured archaeon. RNAcentral describes it as "bacterial SSU rRNA". It matches the Rfam family "Archaeal small subunit ribosomal RNA", at positions 21 to 859 of the family's 1478-position model. The record is from RNAcentral.